UAUGGGGAAAUCCUGAUUUGUGUUCAUAGUACGGCCCCCGGAGGAUUUUAUGACCAUGGUAGGAAUUUGAAGUGGCCCCUCGAAUGAAAAAGGUUCCCCACCCCUGCAUUAAACAUUUCUACUAGCCACAGCUUUGCUGCCAGUACAUUUUAUUAUGAUACUAUAAGCUCAGAAAUUAAGUUGAUCAAACAAUUCGAUCUGUGCUAUAAACAUUUAAAUGAACCUACAGAAUAGGCUAUCAAAAUAGAAUCAUCUGAAUGAUCUUUCUUGGACAUACAUUUUGAAGUGACCCUUCGAAUUAAAAAGGUUCCUCAGCUGCUUUUGAGGAAAAACAUCAAUGUGCUUGGCCACUCUGGUUUUUAAAUGGUAUUCUGAACUAAAGCAAGGAUUGUUGAAAGUUAGUUGAAAAUAGACCGUCUCUGGUUAAAUUAGUUCUACACCAAGCCUUUAGGUGGCAGUAAAACGAAUUGGCACAAUGCGAAUUCCACACACAAGCCACAAAGAAGCCAUCAGCCGCGGUCAACAGCACCUUCCUGAUUGAACAGAACCACGCGUUGUCUGUGUGGUUUACAAGUUUCUUGGCGAUAUGGGGGGAAAGUUCCUCACAUACCAACGGAAAAUGGGCUUCAUAUACAUGCUGCUGUCUCAUAAUAUGGCGAAGACGAGUCACCUGAAGGCCUAACUCGCCAUAGAAGACUGAAAGAAUUGUCCUGCAGGAUGCUGUGUCCUGCAAUCCUGUGUGCUGUGCUACAGACGCGUGUGGAGGUCAACCCAAAAUGGGCACAGUCUCACCACAGAAGAGUGAAAGAGGAUCCUGGCAGGGAGACGGUAGUGUCCUGCAGAAUGGUGAUGGGCCAAUCUUACAAGAGACCACAGAAAACUGAUAUAGUGAACUAUAGAAACAACAGUGCCUGCUGCAGUAUAACGAGGACACCCUGAGCAGAGAGCUCCAAUAGACCCAGGUCCAGUGUCUUGGCAGGGUGAAAUGGCACUGAUAUGGUGUCCUGCAGGAUGCUGUGUCCUGCAAUCCUGUGUGCUGUGCUACAGACGCGUGUGGAGGUCAACCCAAAAUGGGCACAGUCUCACCACAGAAGAGUGAAAGAGGGUAAGCUUAACCUAUAGCCUACGUCAGUGGUGGGGAACCUUUCUCAUUCGAAGGGCCAAUUCAAAUUCACCCGAGGGGCCGUAAAAGUUCUCCAAGGGCCGUACUAUGAACACAAACCAGGAUUUUCCCCUUCACUUUAGACCUAUAUUGAAGGCAGCCACAUUUAAACAAACACCACCUUCUUCAGCUUCCCUGAAUAUAACUUAAUUGUAUUGCAAAUGUAUUUUCUAAGGUUCCUUUACAAAAUGUCAUAUUUUAUGUGAAGCUGAAUAACAUUAAAAUUAUAUCGGGGACCAGAUAAAACGGCCUCAAGGGUCGCAAACGGCCCUCAAGACAUAGGUUCCCCACCCCUGGCCUACAUUGGCAAUAUGACUUGUGCUACUUUAUAGAUAAGUUCUCAAUGCUGUGCAUUGCUAUGUUUUGAUUUAUUUUCUUACAUCCUACAUAUCCUGGCAGGGAGACAUAGUGCAUGAGACCAUAGAAGACUGAAAUAGGAGAUUAUCCCUGUUGGGCUCAAUAUGACUUGCUUAUUGAUAUAUUUGCUAUGUCAAUAUGAGGUGCAUGGUGAAGUAUUAAUUUAUUUGU
Engraulis encrasicolus (European anchovy) is the source of this 1690-nucleotide long non-coding RNA. RefSeq lists it as uncharacterized. Lineage: Eukaryota; Metazoa; Chordata; Actinopteri; Clupeiformes; Engraulidae. The transcript has 6 exons. The record is from RefSeq and is a predicted model, not a curated record.